This 465-nucleotide ribosomal RNA is filed under the name uncultured bacterium. RNAcentral's name for it is "partial 16S ribosomal RNA". It matches the Rfam family "Bacterial small subunit ribosomal RNA", at positions 338 to 795 of the family's 1533-position model. The record is from RNAcentral.
CCUACGGGUGGCAGCAGUAGGGAAUCUUCCACAAUGCGCGAAAGCGUGAUGGAGCAACGCCGCGUGGAUGAAGAAGGCCUUCGGAUCGUAAAGCCCUGUCGUUAGAGAAGAAAAUGCGUGAGAGUAACUGUGUACGUAUUGACGGUAUCUGACUAGACAGCCACGGCUAACUACGUGCCAGCAGCCGCGGUAAUACGGAGGGGGCGAGCGUUGUCCGGAGUGAUUGGGCGUAAAGAGAACGUAGGCGGUGUUGUAAGUCAUUAGUCAAAGCCUUAGGCUCAACUUGAGUAAUGCAAGUGAUACUAGGAUACUAGAGUAUCAAAGAGGAGAGCAGAAUUCCAGGUGUAGCGGUGAAAUGCGUAGAUAUCAGGAGGAAUACCAGUGGCGAAAGCGGCUAUCUGGCUGGAAACUGACGCUGAGGUGCGAAAGCGUGGGUAGCAAACAGGAUUAGAUACCCGAGUAGUC